Molecule: ribosomal RNA, 328 nt
Filed under: uncultured eukaryote
Lineage: Eukaryota
Description: partial 18S ribosomal RNA
Rfam family: Eukaryotic small subunit ribosomal RNA
Source: RNAcentral
CCCUUAGAUGUCCUGGGCCGCACGCGCGCUACACUGAUGCAUGCAACGAGUUUAUAACCUUGGCCUGAAAGGUCUGGGUAAUCUUUUGAACGUGCAUCGUGAUAGGGAUAGAUUAUUGCAAUUGUUAAUCUUGAACGAGGAAUUCCUAGUAAACGCGAGUCAACAGCUCGCAUUGAUUACGUCCCUGCCCUUUGUACACACCGCCCGUCGCACCUACCGAUUGAAUGGUUCGGUGAAGAUCUCGGACUUCGAUAUUUAUUCUUUAUUGAGUUUAUAUUGUGGGAAGUUAUCUAAACCUCAUCAUUUAGAGGAAGGUGAAGUCGUAACA